AAUUUGGCAUACAUAUAAUAUAUAAAUGUGUAUGAUUGAUUGCGAACAAUCAGCUGUUACCUUGAAGUAGUCUAAUAUCUGGUUAAUUCGACUGCCAUUUUGAUAUUAAAUUUUACCGCGCGUAAAAUUCUGAUCUUUCCAUCGACUAUACUCGCGUAAAUUCAAGCAAACUUAUAAAGCACAUCAAACACAAUAACACAACAAAGCAAAUAGCAAGCCGUUAAAAGAGGGAGGCAUACAAAUAUUAUAUUUGCAACAGAGGAGAUAUGAAAACAUUUCACAACUGUUCAGAUACGAAAUACUAAACACGAUAAUCGAACAAAAAAUCAAACAAAACCAAAAAAAAAAACGCUAAGCGUCGAACAUAAAUACAGAAAUAUAAUAAGAAAAUAAUUGUUUCGCAAAAAUAUACAAACUUAAGCGCAAUAAAAUAAAAUAAAACAUACCAAAAUAAACGAAAGGAAAUACAACAAUAAAUAAAUAAAACCUACAGCAAACAUUAUUUGCCGCUCAGCAUUUUUUCGGACUUGCGCCUACACAUACAUACAUAAUAUAUGUAUAUGCAUCCGUCUGAAUUGAUUUGUAUCUGAACGCGUGCAUCUCGCCAGUUGAACGUAUCCGCACCAAGUCGCAUAUCAUCGUGAUAACUUCGUCCCCUCCUAACUUGCAAAGCACCCGUUGGCCUUGCUCCAUUGCACUCGCACACAACACACCUUUCACUUCGGUUAAAGACACAACAAACUUUCAAUCGAAUAUGAUGCAUCAAAUUUGCCUCAUGCAUCUGCCAUCUCAUUAAAAUAUGGAUUUAGCAGAUCAAAUCGAUGAUUAUAUUUGUUCAUUUGAAGGAAUUGGUGAUUUAACAAUGGACUCAUUAGCAAUGUUCAUAUUUAUUUGGGCCGUAUUGGCCCUCUUCAUAGUAUGGCUGUGUAAAUUUUUAUACAAUAAAUAUGUGGUAAAUAAUAAUAAAACGCCAACAAGUCAGAGUAACAGUCGGCAAAGCAGUGUGGUGCCCAGUGGGGCCAGCACAACGAAAACUGAAGCGAGCAAGCGACUAUCCGAACCGAGAGAAGUAAUGGCAAGCAAAGCAGAUUUUAAGGACUUAGCUGCUAAACCUACUGGUGCACGUGGUCGCACACCAGUUGGCGGUGCUGUAGGUGGUGUUGUGGGACCCCGACGACGCAUGGUGCGGCAGGGCUCAACCGGCCCAGAGAGCCGUAAAAAACGCUAUGUGCCGCCACCGUCCAAUGUUGUUGGACCUGAAACAAUUUCAGUUACUUGGACCAGUCAAGCGUUCCGUUGGCUUUACAGCGAUUUAGUGAUUGUCAAUGAACUUUUGACGUCUUGGGUUAUAGCCUUAAACGAUACGCUCAAAAAAUCCAUGGAAGGGCAUGGCGUCGCUGUGGAAGUGGUGCGCGUACUGCCCGAUAGUCCCCCGCCAAGCUUGAAUAAUAUUUUCUGUAACUGUGAUGAAAAUAAUCCAUCUGAUAUGCUGAUCACUUUCGAUUGCGAUGCACAACCAGUGUUGCAGGUAAAAACUUUCCGCCAGAAGGCCGGGAAAGCUGACGUCUCCCACUACAAAGUGACCGUUUCACGAUUCCGUGCUCGCAUGGCCACCGCCAUGAACUACAACAACCUCAAGGGCGAGAUGAAAGUGGAUGGUUAUCCAGAUAUACGCGUCGCCAUGAACAGCGUGGGCGCCAUAAAGCCGUUGGACCAGGAUGAACAACAACUACAAGGAGUAAUUAGCGAUAUUAUCAUCGGCGCUCUACGCGACACCGUGUAUCCAGUGGACUUCUCAAUUUAUGCGACCUGUCCACGCGCCGAAAUCGAUCCAUUAGAUAUGCCUCAAAACAUGGAGGGCUCGAAUUUAUCAGGGCUACAACCAAUGAUCUCCGGACGUCGCUUGCUUGUAAAAAUUGUAAAAGGUGAGGGUCUCCUCGAUGCUAAAGACCCUUAUGUGGUAGUGGAGAUGGACGAACCUGCCCAAAAGAAUCAAACAGGCGCACGCCAGGGUGCCACGCCUUAUUGGGAUGAACAUUUUCUAUUCGAACUGUCCCCACAAUCUGCUGAGAUCCUGUUCGAAGUCUACGAUCGUCCUGUCAAUGCUGCAGAUCCGGCAAAAUUCCUCGGCUUGGGUUUGGUGGGCAUUGAUGAGUUGGCCGUUGGGCCUGCAUCCACACAAGUGCUGACACUGCAGCCACGUCCCUAUGAGACGCAUCCGGUGAGCGGCACCAUCACUGUGGACUUUGUGUUCAUUGAUGGUGCGGAAAUACCUGCUGGACCCAAGCCGUAUAAGCUGAAAGAGGCGUUGAAGAUCAGCACGCCUAUGAUUAACGAACACAUGAAAAAUGGCGCCGACUUGGCAAAUGCAGCCGUACGCGCUUUGCAGGAUGGCGCGCUCUCCACGACGGGGCAGCCCAGCAAGAGUACUUUGAUCAUACACAGCGUUCAGCGAAACCAAAACAAUUCAAAUGCAUUUAAGGUUGAAGUUAACAAAGAGGGCAGAAUAGAAGUUAAAGAAUCGCCGCAAGAUGAACGGGAUGCUGCUGUAACCCAAGGUUUAGAAAACCCAUUAAACGACAAUACAAGCGAAUCGCUGCCAACCGCGACUACCACCGCGGACAUAGAGCACAUCCAGCAGGAUAUAUCGAUGACGACAGACAUAACUGCAAGUCCCUCAGACUCGUAUCCAGCAAAUGAUGGCUACUUAGAUGAGUCGGGGGUGGCAUCAGGUAACAGCAGUGCCAUGCCAUCCAGCGCGGAGUUUGGACAUCCGAAUGCUGCCUCCUCCCCACAAGGCCACAAUGGCUAUUCACCACUAAAUGGCAACUCGGCUGCAAACGGCUCCCAAAGUUAUGGAUAUCAAAACAAUAGUUUGCCCCGUAAUGGCGGUGCCACCAGCACACCUUUAAGCAGUGCUGAUCUGGAUGAACGAGGCCGGAGUAAGAAACGAAAUUUCUUUGGAACAUUAAAAAAACGUUUAAGCCGAUCCAAGACACGCACCCAUUCGGCUGAUCGUGGCGCUUUGACGCCGUCCCAAAAUAAUAACGGUACUACCCCAACAGGAACACUUAACGGUGAUUCACGUUCAUUAUCUGUCGAUCGUGCUGUAAUGUCUAAAAGCAAUUCACUUGGCCCACGCGUUGGCUCCUCACGACUUGAUCACUCAAGGCAAUCUUCAAUUUCAGAAUCGUCCGCAAUCUCAGGUUUCUCAUCGGCCAGCAACAAAACGUACGUACACGAAGCGUCCACACUGGUCCUGGAGACGAUCGAGAAUGGCGUGAAGCGACAUUUUAUUGUUCCGCUAGCAAUCGCACAACGGCCCAGGUGGCGCCGCAAAGGCACAAAGCUACACAUUUAUAACGACCAUACCUUCAUCGCCAAACACUUGAGCGGUGGCGGCCUGCAAUGCCAGGUUUGCAUGAAGUCUAUCCCGCGACGACCGGGCAAACAGGGCUACGAAUGCCGGGACUGCAAUUUGAUCUGUCACAAACAGUGCCACAUACGGGCGCCACAGGCGUGUCCCAAUCCCACAGUGCUUUCAAUGGAAUUGACCUCAUUUCCGGUACUCACAGAACAAGAUAUAAUUUAGUCAACCUUCUAAUUGAUUUUCAAAACACAUACCAACUUUAAUUGUCGUGAAAUCCACACUUUUUCAUUUAAAUAUAAUUAGAUUAAUUACCUUUAUUUACAUGCGAAGUUUUUGUUAAAUUUUUAUUUAAUUAAUUUAAUAUUUAAUAAACGGUUUACUCUCCCACAAAUUACGUAUAAAUAGAAAAAAAAUAACUGGAAUUUCGUAAACUCGCGCAUCUUAAAUGAUAAAUUUUCAAGCUUUUUAUGGCAUUUACGAAAUUGUUUUGAACGCUUUGCACACAACACCGCUGUUUCCAUUCUGUUUGUGAAUACCGCACCCUCAUUAAUUGCUCCUCUGGCGCGUUUCCUUUUACAGAUUUUUCUACUAACACUUUUGCCUUCUAAUUUUUUCUAAGCUGAAAAAUUGUAGCCUAACUCAAUAUAAAAAAAAUGAAAUUAAGUUCACUUAAAGGGUUAAUUUUUCAGAGUUGGUUUGACUGUGAAAAUUUUCAAACAAUAUUGCAGUAUUGGAAUUUUCACCUUUUUAUUUAUAGCUGGAAACAAUUGUUAAAAAUGCACUGGAAAAUUUGUCUUAGCACCAAUUGCCGUUUUCGGACUUACCGGUUUACUUCUUUCUGCUUUCUCAAUGUUGCGCAAUGCUUUAAUAUUUAUGUAGCUGUGCAUUGCCACAACUUUAAGUUUGUUUCUUACAUGCGGUUUCACAUACACACAUACAUACAUACAUAUGACAUAUCAUCUAACUGCAUUUGUAAAUCCAACUAAUCUACACUUUUACUAUACCCUCUACCUCGCAACACAGGAUGAUGACUUUUAAUAAAAGAGAAAUUAUUAAGACCGGCAAUUUUCCCACGCUUCAGUAAAAUACAACCAUGAAAAAGUUUAAAACAAUUUUGUAAUUUUUCAAUGUUGAAAGCUUUUAUUUUCGUGCAAUAAGAACUAAACUAUGUACUUGUAUGUAUUUAUACUCAAAUCAUAAAAAAAACUUUAAACAAAAACAUAAUAUUUGAAAAUCAAGCAGUUUCCAAUACAAAGAAGUCAGUACGGUACAACUUCGGUAUCUUAUUUACCGGAUCGAAACUUAACUCUGCCGCUGCUGAUCGCAGUAUAAGAAAAUUAUGAAUAUAUUGGUAACGGAAACGAACACAACCACAAAUGCAUAAUCCGCCAGAGCAACCACCGCUACUGCCAGCAAAAAAGUAAUGCCGGAAAUAAAGGAUGCAAUCCUGAUUUAUUCGAACGAAAGUAAAAAAGUUCUGAGCAUAGCUUACUGUGGCUAAGCUUUUCGGUUUUCUGUUAUUUAUUAUAUGUUUUUUUUUUUAUUAUUUAAGUGAUUUUUAAAUACUCGCACACGAAUCAGCAACUCGAAAUUUAAGAAAUGCGAAGGAAAAACUUUUUUGACACAAAUUGUAAAAGAAAUUAUAAAGAGGCCGAAUACUGUACCGAAUAGUGCACUUUUAUUUUUAUAAAAAAAAAAAAAUAAUUCCUAUUAAGUAUAUCCUUUGGAUAAAUUUGUUUAAUAUUUUCGAAAUAUUGUAUUAAUUCCCCGUGUUUACUUUAAAGUUUCCCCUUAUAUAAAGUUGUACAAGUUUUAUAUUUUAUUAACACGCUACUCAAUCUCAGUCUUCGCUACACAAAAAAACAAAAAAAAAGAUUAACUUCCCAGAAAAGGAUUUAAACACAAUCAGGAAACAUAAAAACCAGUGCAAUCUUUACUAUCAUUUUUGUUAAAUACAUAUAUAUGUAUAUAUGUCAAGUUUACCAAGUAUAAGUUUUGUAAUUCUGAAAAAAUAAAUAUGAAGCACAUAUGAGCUAAGAAAAAGUUAAACCACAAUCGUACACAUUACACAGUAGUACACAAUCACAGUACGAAAACGCAAAUAAAUGUUCAAAAUCAGUAAUGAAACUAAGCGAAUCUUAGAACAAAUCAAUAAAAAUGGUGGAGUUUUAAGUAGAACUACGAUAAAAA
Anastrepha obliqua is the source of this 5560-nucleotide RNA transcript. RefSeq lists it as uncharacterized. The record is from RefSeq and is a predicted model, not a curated record. Lineage: Eukaryota; Metazoa; Arthropoda; Insecta; Diptera; Tephritidae. The transcript is spliced from 18 exons.